Molecule: long non-coding RNA, 1530 nt
Filed under: Oncorhynchus kisutch (coho salmon)
Lineage: Eukaryota; Metazoa; Chordata; Actinopteri; Salmoniformes; Salmonidae
Description: lncRNA (ENSOKIG00005034358.1)
Source: RNAcentral
AUGAACCUGCUGCAGUACAGUAAGUCUAGUCUGUCUCACCUCACCCCCCUUCACCUCACCUCACCCCACCCCCCUUCACCUCACCUCACCCCACCCCCCUUCACCUCACCCCACCCCACCCCCCUUCACCUCACCUCACCUCACCCCACCCCCCUUCACCUCACCUCAUCCCCCUUCACCUCACCUCAUCCCCCUUCACCUCACCUCAUCCCCCUUCACCUCACCUCACCCCACCCCCCUUCACCUCACCUCACCCCACCCCCCUUCACCUCACCUCACCCCACCCCCCUUCACCUCACCUCAUCCCCCUUCACCUCACCUCAUCCCCCUUCACCUCACCUCAUCCCCCUUCACCUCACCUCAUCCCCCUUCACCUCACCUCAUCCCCCUUCACCUCACCUCAUCCCCCUUCACCUCACCUCAUCCCCCUUCACCUCACCUCAUCCCCCUUCACCUCACCUCACCCCCCCUUCACCUCACCUUACCCCCACUUCACCUCACCUUACCCCCACUUCACCUCACCUCAUCCCCCUUCACCUCAUCUCACCUCACCCCGUUUCACCUCACCCCGUUUCACCUCACCUCAUCCCGUUUCACCUCACCUCAUCCCGUUUCACCUCACCUCAUCCCGUUUCACGUCACCUCAUCCCCCUUCACUUUACCUCACCUCAUCCCCCUACACUUUACCUCACCUCAUCCCCCUUCACUUUACCUCACCUCACCUCACCCCCCCUUCACCUCACCUUACCCCCACUUCACCUCACCUUACCCCUCCUUCACCUCACCUUACCCCCCCUUCACCUCACCUCAUCCCCCUUCACCUCACCUCAUCUCACUUCACCUCAUCUCACCCCGUUUCACCUCACCCCGUUUCACCUCACCCCGUUUCACCUCACCCCGUUUCACCUCACCCCGUUUCACCUCACCCCGUUUCACCUCACCUCACCCGUUUCACAUCAUCCCCCUUCACCUCACCUCACCCCCCCUUCACCUCACCCCGUUUCACCUCACCUCACCCCGUUUCACCUCACCUCGCCCUUCACCUCACCUCACCCCCCUUCACCUCACCUCACCCCCCUUCACCUCACCCCGUUUCACCUCACCUCACCCCGUUUCACCUCACCUCGCCCUUCACCUCACCUCACCCCCCUUCACCUCACCUCACCCCCCUUCACCUCACCUCACCCCCCUUCACCUCAUCUCACCCCCCUUCACCUCACCUCACCCCCCUUCACCUCACCUCACCCCCCUUCACCUCACCUCACCCCCCUUCACCUCACCUCACCCCCCUUCACCUCACCUCACCCCCCUUCACCUCACCUCACCCCCCUUCACCUCACCUCACCCCCCUUCACCUCACCUCACCCCCCAACCCAAUCCGUUUACUUUUUGUCACCGUUCAAACUCACACCCUCCUCCAAAUUUUUCGAACUACCCCAUAACGUUCUUCUCCCGCUCUGUGUGUGUGUCUGUGUGCACGCACGUGUUCGUGCAUGUGUAGUAAUGUGUGCUCUUGCUCGUGUCAGUUAA